GAUGAACGCUGGCGGCGUGCCUAAUACAUGCAAGUCGAGCGAACAGACGAGAGUGCUUGCCCUCUCUGACGUUAGCGGCGGACGGGUGAGUCACACGUGGGUAACCUACCUAUAAGACUGGGAUAACUUCGGGAAACCGGAGCUAAUCCCGGAUAAUAUUUAGCUUCGCAUGAAGCAAUAGUGAAAGACGGUUCUGCUGUCACUUAUAGAUGGACCCGCGGUGUAUUAGCUAGUUGGUGAGGUAACGGCUCACCAAGGCAACGAUACAUAGCCGACCUGAGAGGGUGAUCGGCCACACUGGGACUGAGACACGGCCCAGACUCCUACGGGAGGCAGCAGUAGGGAAUCUUCCGCAAUGGACGAAAGUCUGACGGAGCAAUGCCGCGUGAGUGAAGAAGGUUUUCGGAUCGUAAAACUCUGUUGUAAGGGAAGAACAAGUACGUUAGUAACUGAACGUACCUUGACGGUACCUGACCAGAAAGCCACGGCUAACUACGUG
Molecule: ribosomal RNA, 499 nt
Filed under: uncultured bacterium
Lineage: Bacteria
Description: partial 16S ribosomal RNA
Rfam family: Bacterial small subunit ribosomal RNA
Source: RNAcentral